GCACAAAGAAAAUGUACACAAAACACUGAACUCCUCACCAUCAUCGAGAGGACGCGCUGACACUGCUCCGCCCCUCCCCCGCUCUAACCCUAGCGCCGCGGCUCGUCGCCGAUCCCGAUCACCUCCGUCGUCGUCGCCGCUCCGUUCAGCCGCUGCAGCCGAUCGCAGGACUCGCCCUCGUCGCAGAACACUCCAAGAUCCGACCGCCCUUCUCCCCGACCUCGCACGGCAGUCCGUCGUCCGUCACUCCUCUCUUUUCCAUGGCCGUGACUAGACCACCGCUAGGCCGCCGCCUACCGCGCGAUUCCGGCGGGCCCGGUUGCGCCGUGCCCGUGGAGGCCGGGCGCAAGGAGGAGGAGGAGCAGAAGCAGCGCGGAAGGAGGCACCCGAGGCUGAACCGGCCGCCAUCGAGGAGUAGGAGGCAAAAACCAGCACCGUAGAGUCAGUGCUCACUGAAGAUGGGCCUGAUGCCCCUUUAUUUGACAGUACUUUAGUUGCUUCUGCUCAUGAUCAGGGCAUACCAAGAUAUUUUGAUCCUGGGAGAUACCUUGCUGAGGAGGGAGGAUCAUGUAGUUGUGAGCUAUCCAAUGAAAAGGCGGAAGAAGCCUUGCUUUGUUUGUGGGUUGUUUGGACACAAUUCAAAGCAGUGCAUGCAGAACUUGCUCUGUUUUGGGCUGCACUGGUGUCAAGGAUUUUGAAUUAGCGACAAUGGGGACCAAAAUCGGUGGCAAUGGGGAGCAAAAUCAGCAGCUGACAUUUGACCAGGAUACCCACACUGACAAGCUUCAGCAUUGGCAACACCAGGCAAAAUCCAUCGCCCUGUUUUCUUGCAAAUCAUAUGGUAGAUGUAAUUACAUAUAGUUUAGUGGUAGAAUUAUAGCAUGAUUUAUUAGUUGGGAUGCCAGAGCAAUUGCCAAUAAUCCUGGUUAGGGAGAAAAAAAAAGCUAAUGCAAGUUUUCUAUAUUGCAAUAGCUGAUUUAAAUGGGAAAAUAUUUCUAUGACUGCCUUAUUGGGCUAGCUAUACCGAUAACUUCGUUGCUAAUGUACCAUUGCUACCUUGGUAGAACACCACUGCAAAGGCCUGGUUAUUCAACAUAUGGUUUUCUUCUCCCUGGGUGAAUAUUUCUCGCCUGUUGACACUUUGCUUUACUGACUUUUGAUAAUACUACAAAUAGCACCACUUGCCUGUAUUAUUUUAAUUAUCUUAGCUCAGCUCACACCUAAAUUAUAAAGUGUGGUGGAAAGAACUACAUAUAGUUUUUUCUACCACUAAACUCUUGAUGCAUUCAUGCUUUUGGCCUUGAUUUGGCAUAUUGAUAGGAAUUGGGCUACUAAUGAAAAUCUCAGACAAUGGUGUUUGUGCCAAAUGGGUCAACGUCCUUUUCUAUUGCUGUGUAGGUUGACUGGUAUGUACAUUCGAUCUAUUUUCCUUUUUGAGUAUGGUACAUUGAUUUGUCUGUGGGCUCAUAUGCUUCAAUUUAAUUUCCCUAUAAGUUUGGUUUCCUAAUUUCAUUACAUUGUUCUCCAUUUGAAGUUCAAACAUAAUGAGCCUUGGAAUAUGGUACUGGUGUAUACAAAUAUAAAGCAUUCCUAGAGUACUAUUCCCACCAACCACCACUCAGUCAAAUUUCUUCCAAUCUUACCCCAACCACCCUCCUAUUCUCAGUUAGGAGGGCACCAUAGUCUUUUCUCCUUAACCUUAAUCUCUGCUAAAAACCUAGAAAUGUUUAUAUUUGGGAACAGAGGGAGUAGAGGUGACCAAACAAUAUUUUAUGCCCCUUAUCCACCCAAUACAAAAAUAUAUGCGACAUACACCACGAUUGCCAAGUAAAUACAGGAAGUUGCAAGAGCUGACUGUAGUACUAAGAAAAUGUGAAUUGAGUUUUCCCCAUGUUAUUUUGCUAAAAUUAUGCUUCUUUACUUGGAUAUUUUAAUCUUUGCAGUUUUGGUGUGUUUUAUGAAGCAAGGUCGAAUACAAGAAUCAAUAGGAUGAAAAUUAUCAAUGCAGUAUCCAAAUCUGUUCCUCAACCUCACAAGGUUGACCUUAACAGUCCAAACAGGAUUAUUAUUGUGCAGAUUGAGAAGAACCUAUUGGAACAGUUGUUUAUUCAAAUGAAUACAACAUGUUUGGAAUUUAGAGUUUGAUUUCUGGCAAACAAUUUAUAUAGCUCCAAGGCCUGAUCCAUGACUCAAGCACAUGGGCGGUUAAAGCUUUGUAACUUCAGAAUUUAAUGCUAUUAUAUGUAUGGUUGGAGUGAUCGAGAGGUACACAGUGCUCGCAAAGUUCAAUCUAAAGCAGCUGACCUCACCACCGCAGAAGCAGCUAAUGGGCCAACUUGAAUUAGAUUCGGCAGCAGUUAGUUGUUGGUUGAGCCGUGGCAGUCACUGUUAAAAGAUCAAAUGUACUCGUAUCCAUCGAAGGCCGCGACAGUUGUAAAGCACCCUGAAAUAUUUUGAUGUUGUGCCGCCAAACUGGCUUCCACGGGGACUACAAAUCGAUCUAAAUCUGCCAAUUAAAUCUAUAUUCAUUCAGCAAAAGCAGUUAAACUAUGAAGCCUAAAAAGAGAGUUUAUUACUGUUGUUAUUUUUUCUUUUUUCUUCGAAGACAAAAAGAGAGACAUUCAUGGAUGUUACGCUCAACUGAGAUGAAACCUGUGAUGUCUGUUUUCAUUGAUGCCUGGCGUGUGCGUGUCCAUGUGCUCACUGGCAUUUUGAUUCAUUCAGUGUUUGUAUUGUAGAGCUAAAUAGAAUCGGUAUUUUUUUUAUUA
This is a non-coding RNA of Oryza sativa Japonica Group (Japanese rice), 2768 nucleotides long. NCBI's taxonomy places the organism in Eukaryota, Viridiplantae, Streptophyta, Magnoliopsida, Poales, Poaceae. The record is from RefSeq and is a predicted model, not a curated record.